GCCACGUGGCAAGAGCAGAUGGACGUUUUUGGGCGAGAGAGUGUUGGCUGCAGGAUGCUAACCCCGUCAGAAUCUCAGUGGAGCCGGUGUUCAAUGGAGCAAAGCACACAGAAUCCCAGCUGGAUGACACACGAUAUGACAGACCUGGCUGAGCAGACCUUGGCUGCCUGAAGGAAGGAAGCACCCUAUAUCUGUUCAGACUCCAUCCUGAGUCAGCCAAGACCCAUCGCAGAAAUGAGCAGGUCCGGAAUGUCUGAGAAUGCUUGUUGACUGCACUGCUUCUCAGAUGAAGAGACAUUCCAGGGAGAGACACCUCACCCAGCGUCACUGUCCGCAUGCCUUGACCCAGACUCCACUGUUCUUCAUACUUCAUGUCCCUAACACUCCUUCCAACUGGGUGUGGUGGCGCACACCUUUAAUCCCAGCACUCUGAAGGCAGAGGCAGAUGGAUCUCUGAGUUUGAGACCAGCCUGGUCUACAAAACCAGUCCAGGACAGCCAGGGCUACACAGAGAAAAUUUGUCUUAAAAAACAAGCAAACAAAAAAAUACCACCACCAAAAAAGGCAACAAACCACCUGUACACCCAACCCCUUCUCCCACACAGCCUCUGUGCAUACCCAUUCUGUGUAACCAACCAGUGAUUUUUUUUUUUUAAGAUAGGGUCUCAAUAUAUAGCUCUGGCUGUCCUGGAACUCUCACACUGUAGACGAAGCUGGCCUCAAACUCACAGAGAUCCACCUCCCUGUUUUUGCCUCCCAAGUGCUAGGAUUAA
Long non-coding RNA from Peromyscus maniculatus bairdii (prairie deer mouse), 773 nucleotides. RefSeq lists it as uncharacterized. The record is from RefSeq and is a predicted model, not a curated record. NCBI's taxonomy places the organism in Eukaryota, Metazoa, Chordata, Mammalia, Rodentia, Cricetidae.